ACCAGCAGCCAUAUUGCCCUACAACUCACAACUGGCUACCCACUGAAGCUAAGCAGGUAGGAACCUGGUCAGUACCCAGAUGGGAGACCUCCUGGGAAAAACCAAGGUUUCUGCUGGAA
This 119-nucleotide ribosomal RNA is filed under the name Lepisosteus oculatus (spotted gar). Lineage: Eukaryota; Metazoa; Chordata; Actinopteri; Semionotiformes; Lepisosteidae. The record is from RNAcentral.